Molecule: ribosomal RNA, 434 nt
Filed under: uncultured bacterium
Lineage: Bacteria
Description: bacterial SSU rRNA
Rfam family: Bacterial small subunit ribosomal RNA
Source: RNAcentral
AACGCGAAGAACCUUACCAGGCCUUGACAUGCACUAGACCGACGCUGAAAGGCGUCUUCCCUUCGGGGCUGGUGCACAGGUGCUGCAUGGCUGUCGUCAGCUCGUGUCGUGAGAUGUUGCGUUAAGUCGCGCAACGAGCGCAACCCCUGUCCUUAGUUGCCAUCAGGUAAAGCUGGGCACUCUAGGGAGACAAACCCUCUCUGAGGGUGGGAAGGUGGGGAUGACGUCAAGUCAGGAUGGCCCUUACGGCCUGGGCUGCACACGUGCUACAAUGCUCGGUACAGAGGGACGCAAGACCGCGAGGUGGAGCAAAUCCCAAAAACCGAGCCCAGUUCAGAUUGCAGUCUGCAACUCGACUGCAUGAAGCCGGAAUCGCUAGUAAUGGCGUAUCAGCUACGACGCCGUGAAUACGUUCCCGGGCCUUGUACACACCG